This 77-nucleotide transfer RNA is filed under the name Pseudomonas fluorescens. RNAcentral's name for it is "tRNA-Asn". The record is from RNAcentral. Lineage: Bacteria; Pseudomonadati; Pseudomonadota; Gammaproteobacteria; Pseudomonadales; Pseudomonadaceae. RNAcentral also lists the same sequence under 1 other name.
GGAGCGGUAGUUCGGUUGGUCAGAAUACCCACCGAUUACGCGGGGGUCGCGGGUUCGAGCCCUCGUCCGCUCCGCCA